GCUGUGAAAGUGAUGUCUACAUAUGUAAAGCAACUUUUAAAAUCCCUAUUAACCUGAAGGUUACUGAGGUGAGUGCAAACUAGGUAAGCCAACGAAUGGCAGGGCUUCAAAUUCUCCUUUUGUUGUUACAGCAUUUAUGGUAUUUUAAGAGCGUUUUAUGAACGAUGGAAGGCUGGAGUUGGUAACAUUCUGAGACGGGUGUAGCCUAGGGAAGAGUAAGGUGUCCGGCCGGGCUGUAUCUCGUGGGUGGCGAGGGAACAUUGCCUGUCUCGGAAACAGUUCCCAAGACAACGCGCAUCCCAGACGCC
RNAcentral lists this long non-coding RNA (308 nucleotides) under Homo sapiens (human). RNAcentral's name for it is "non-protein coding lnc-ADAM22-2:20". Lineage: Eukaryota; Metazoa; Chordata; Mammalia; Primates; Hominidae. The record is from RNAcentral.